GAGGAAUAUUGAGCAAUGGGCGCAAGCCUGACUCAGCAACGCCGCGUGGACGAUGACGGCCUUCGGGUUGUUAAAGCCUUUUUCUGAGGGACGAUGAUGACGGUACCUCAGGAACAAGUCCCGGCUAACUACGUGCCAGCAGCCGCGGUAAAACGUAGGGGGCGAGCGUUAAUCCGGAUUUUACUGGGCGUAAAGCGCAUGUAGGCGGUGGGAAAAGUCAGACGUGAAAGCUCCCGGCUUAACUGGGAGAGGUCGUUUGAAACUAUCCGACUGGAGGUUGGAAGAGGAGAGUGGAAUUCCCGGUGUAGUGGUGGAAUGCGUAGAUAUUCGGGAGGAACACCAGUGGCGAAAGCGGCUCUCUGGACCAAUUCUGACGCUGAGAUGCGAAAGCGUGGGGAGCAAACGGGAUUAGAUACCCCGGUAGUCCACGCUGUAAACGAUGGAGACUAGGUGUCGGCGGUCAUUUUACCCCGUCGGUGCCGCAGCUAACGCGUUAAGUCUCCCGCCUGGGGACUACGGCCGCAAGGUUA
RNAcentral lists this ribosomal RNA (530 nucleotides) under uncultured bacterium. RNAcentral's name for it is "bacterial SSU rRNA". It matches the Rfam family "Bacterial small subunit ribosomal RNA", at positions 356 to 896 of the family's 1533-position model. The record is from RNAcentral.